RNAcentral lists this unclassified non-coding RNA (218 nucleotides) under Glomeraceae sp. RNAcentral describes it as "partial contains 5.8S ribosomal RNA and internal transcribed spacer 2". The stretch from base 1 to 65 matches the Rfam family "5.8S ribosomal RNA", at positions 84 to 154 of the family's 154-position model. The record is from RNAcentral. Lineage: Eukaryota; Fungi; Glomeromycota; Glomeromycetes; Glomerales; Glomeraceae.
GUGAAUCAUCGAAUUUUUGAACGCAAAUUGCACUCUCUUCGGAGAGUAUGCCUGUUCGAGGGUCAGUGUUAAUAAAACUCGGAGUGUUGCUUCUUUGUGAGGCUCCGGGGUUCGGGUCAUCCUAAUAUCCUUUAGGUUUUUAGUGGCUUACCAUUGACUUUUUUUGCGCAUUUUAGAUGUAGAUAAAUUCUUUUUUUUAUUCGUCUGUCUUCAUGCUC